Molecule: ribosomal RNA, 1537 nt
Filed under: Escherichia coli
Lineage: Bacteria; Pseudomonadati; Pseudomonadota; Gammaproteobacteria; Enterobacterales; Enterobacteriaceae
Description: bacterial LSU rRNA
Rfam family: Bacterial large subunit ribosomal RNA
Source: RNAcentral
AAUGGGUCAGCGACUUAUAUUCUGUAGCAAGGUUAACCGAAUAGGGGAGCCGAAGGGAAACCGAGUCUUAACUGGGCGUUAAGUUGCAGGGUAUAGACCCGAAACCCGGUGAUCUAGCCAUGGGCAGGUUGAAGGUUGGGUAACACUAACUGGAGGACCGAACCGACUAAUGUUGAAAAAUUAGCGGAUGACUUGUGGCUGGGGGUGAAAGGCCAAUCAAACCGGGAGAUAGCUGGUUCUCCCCGAAAGCUAUUUAGGUAGCGCCUCGUGAAUUCAUCUCCGGGGGUAGAGCACUGUUUCGGCAAGGGGGUCAUCCCGACUUACCAACCCGAUGCAAACUGCGAAUACCGGAGAAUGUUAUCACGGGAGACACACGGCGGGUGCUAACGUCCGUCGUGAAGAGGGAAACAACCCAGACCGCCAGCUAAGGUCCCAAAGUCAUGGUUAAGUGGGAAACGAUGUGGGAAGGCCCAGACAGCCAGGAUGUUGGCUUAGAAGCAGCCAUCAUUUAAAGAAAGCGUAAUAGCUCACUGGUCGAGUCGGCCUGCGCGGAAGAUGUAACGGGGCUAAACCAUGCACCGAAGCUGCGGCAGCGACGCUUAUGCGUUGUUGGGUAGGGGAGCGUUCUGUAAGCCUGUGAAGGUGUGCUGUGAGGCAUGCUGGAGGUAUCAGAAGUGCGAAUGCUGACAUAAGUAACGAUAAAGCGGGUGAAAAGCCCGCUCGCCGGAAGACCAAGGGUUCCUGUCCAACGUUAAUCGGGGCAGGGUGAGUCGACCCCUAAGGCGAGGCCGAAAGGCGUAGUCGAUGGGAAACAGGUUAAUAUUCCUGUACUUGGUGUUACUGCGAAGGGGGGACGGAGAAGGCUAUGUUGGCCGGGCGACGGUUGUCCCGGUUUAAGCGUGUAGGCUGGUUUUCCAGGCAAAUCCGGAAAAUCAAGGCUGAGGCGUGAUGACGAGGCACUACGGUGCUGAAGCAACAAAUGCCCUGCUUCCAGGAAAAGCCUCUAAGCAUCAGGUAACAUCAAAUCGUACCCCAAACCGACACAGGUGGUCAGGUAGAGAAUACCAAGGCGCUUGAGAGAACUCGGGUGAAGGAACUAGGCAAAAUGGUGCCGUAACUUCGGGAGAAGGCACGCUGAUAUGUAGGUGAAGUCCCUUGCGGAUGGAGCUGAAAUCAGUCGAAGAUACCAGCUGGCUGCAACUGUUUAUUAAAAACACAGCACUGUGCAAACACGAAAGUGGACGUAUACGGUGUGACGCCUGCCCGGUGCCGGAAGGUUAAUUGAUGGGGUCAGCGCAAGCGAAGCUCUUGAUCGAAGCCCCGGUAAACGGCGGCCGUAACUAUAACGGUCCUAAGGUAGCGAAAUUCCUUGUCGGGUAAGUUCCGACCUGCACGAAUGGCGUAAUGAUGGCCAGGCUGUCUCCACCCGAGACUCAGUGAAAUUGAACUCGCUGUGAAGAUGCAGUGUACCCGCGGCAAGACGGAAAGACCCCGUGAACCUUUACUAUAGCUUGACACUGAACAUUGAGCCUUGAUG